Wyeomyia smithii (pitcher-plant mosquito) is the source of this 4727-nucleotide long non-coding RNA. RefSeq lists it as uncharacterized. The record is from RefSeq and is a predicted model, not a curated record. The transcript is spliced from 2 exons. NCBI's taxonomy places the organism in Eukaryota, Metazoa, Arthropoda, Insecta, Diptera, Culicidae.
UUUGGCCGAAGUAACGGUACAGAAUCUGCAUAUACAGAUAUACAGAUUUUUGUCGAAAUGUACAGAUUUACAGAUUUUUCGAAAUUGACAUUAAUUUUUAAAAACAAUCCAAAUUUUAUUUCAUUAAAUAUUAAGCAAAUUGAACAUAUUUUCAACUCCUCACACAUUUUAAGCUAAAAAUUUCGUUCAUGUACCACAAAAACCUAAAAAAAAAAAACAAAGUUCUUUAUGUUUAAACAAUACAGAUUUUUUUUACAGAUAUUUUUGUUCCAGAUACAGAUGCUCAGGGAAAACACAGAUUUAAAUGUGGCAACCCUGAUCACAACGUCCUUAGUAGAGACCUUUUUACGUACGAAUGUAUUUGUGCACCUAGUUGAGGAAAGUAUUUACAAAUCGCCUUUUUGUUUGCUAUGCUAUGUUUUUGGUAGCUGGACAAAUAUUCAGUUGAAUACUUAUUAUAAGUUCUAAACUCGUUUCUGAAUGAAUUUUUCAUUCGUGAUCAUGAAUCGGGGGAAGCUGCUGAACAUUAUCGACCAAAAAUGGUAAAAAGUGAUAAAAAGUCGGAGCAACGAGAUGCGAUGAUUUACAGUUUGGAGGAAACAAAAGCAACUUUACAUGGGUUUACACGUUCAUUAGUGUGCGUAGGUGAAAAGUCACUUAUCUCUAGUGAUGGGAAAUAUCGCCCAAAACGUACAUCGAUAACAAUCGAUAAUUCCGGGGGUUUUAUCGAUAUUAUCGAUAAGUAUCGAUAAUUUGACAGCUAACGUUUGCGGUGAAAAAAAUAUUUCAGAUGAUGAAAAAAAAACUAUUUCAGAUUGUGAUGAAAAAAAAACUAUGACAGAUAAAUAAGUUGGAUGAAUUUCCCAUGCAAGAUUAUCAUGUUAGCUUCCUCGCAAAAAAAUAUUACGUCCUUGCGUGCGGCCUUCCGGCAGUUAACCGUAACAUUUGCCAUGGCGGACGAAAACAUGCGUGUAGCCAUGUUUUUAAGCUCUUUCUUCGUUUUUUUUUAUUAAUUCCUCCUCCGUUUUCGCGACAAAAUUGUUGGAAUAGAUCUUGCGCUUCAAGUCCCAGAAAUUCUCGAUGGGAAGCAGGUGGGGGACAUUGGGCGGAUUCGUCGACUUCGGUACCACAUCGAUAUUCAGCCGCUCCAUCUCCUCGUACGAUCGCUUCGAGUAGUUGGCCGACGUCAAAUCUGGCCAGAACACCGCGUCUUCGCGCUUAUGGUAUUUCGUGAUGAACGACGCAACGUCUGUCAGGCACUUCGUACUAUAAAUUUCCCCGUUCACGGCCAGCCCGGAGCGAAAGAAGAGUAACUUUGACAUCCCUUUCUCGCUGAUUGUCAGCCACAGCCGCACCUUCUUGGGGAACUUGGUCUGUGAAAUAAACUUUACCUCGGUGCUCACUUCCUUCGUGGGGGAGGUAAAAUACGGAGAACCCUGCUAGUCGUUGCCAUCCAGGGUGAGACAGGUCUAGUCGUCCAUCACUACUGCCACGUCGCGAUUCACCGGGAAAAUCGACUUGACCAUCUUAUUCAACCGCUGUCGCUGCGUCAUUGCCUGCAGCUCCGAGAUCAGUGGUCGGGAUUGCAGCUUCUUGUAUGCAUGUCCAUGUUCUCCAGAUACUUUUUCACUGUUUUAGAGCAUGCAUCAACCUCUCGGCCAAGUGCACGCAGCGAUUUAGCCACUUUUCCCUCGGUCUUCCUCUUCAGCAUCCUUUUGGUUAUCAGCAAGCUUCUUGUCACUCAGGGUCGUUGGCCGACCAGAACCGGGUUUUCUUUCGAUGCUCUGAUCAUUGUCCAAUAGUGUCAAAAUGUUGUAGAUGCCAGAACCGGCAUACCCGGUGUCCACAAAGUGCCGCACGAUGUCUGUUUUUGACGCCAUUUUGAAACCCAUGAAAUCGGAAAUUUUUGUCCAUUUUUUUACCGCAAACGUUAUUGCGGUUAUAGUAACGGCCCAAACAGAUUGGAUACGUUUGCGUUGCGUUGGCGUCAAUUUGACAGUAAAUGUAUGGGCUAACUGUCAAAUUGCCGCACACGCAGCCGCAGUGGCGUAGCGUAACCGGGUGACACCCGGGGCGGAAAAUUUGGCACCCCCCAUUUCCCAUGGGUGUCACCCCCGCCAGGUUGCAGUGAAAUCAUUUUGUUACCCAAAAUUGUGAGAGAUAUCACGUUCGUUUUCGAUUUAACUAAAUCUACCGAUUUUUGAAAAAAUGGUUGCGAUUAUUUUCUUAAAAGUAAAGUUAAAGUAAAGUAAAAAUUAAUUUUCGGGGUUUCACAGUGACCUCCACCUAAUCGAUAGUUAAUCUCACGGAUAUCACCCUUUUGAAGGUGACACGUAUGAAAAUUUUCCUCAUGGGUGUCACCCCCUGAAGAGUGACACCCGGGGCGGACCGCCCCCGCCGCCCCCACCACGCUACGCCAGUGCGCAGCCGCAACGUAUCCAUUGUGUUAAGGCCUUGAAUGACAAAUCUUACGAUACUGCGAAUGAUAAUUCAAACUACCGGACGAGUUAAACAGUUUGUUUUGGAAAGUCUUUGAGUUUUACGCCGGGAGUGCUUUCUACGGAGUAGUUUCAAGCCGAAGUUCAUUUUGAAGGUUGUGUAAUAAGGGAAAUAAUUGAAGCAGGCAAAAUUCUGUCAAUUUUUAAAUGGCCAAAACUUCACGAAAAAUGAAUCAAUUCAGACAAAACAGGUUUCAUUUUACUGGAAAACUGUCCUAGAUUCCUAGUAUAACUUGAGAACUGGACGUGACCAAGGGUCACUGGAAAUGUUUCAGAUUUCCGGAGUGUGUGCUAAAGUGUACAUUUUUGCAACGCGUAGAACUUUUUCUGACAUUCUGUUUCUCAUAGGUUUAUAUGUUGUCAAUACAUCGAAAUUUAUUUCAGGUUCAUUGGUAGCCAAAGAUUGAAAAUUCGCCAAGGAAUCAUCGAGGUAUGAAUUUAUUAAGUAUGGGUGCUGAUUUUGGCGGUUUUUUCCCUGUUGGGUACUAAUUUUCUUUGAGCUUGCAGCACUCUAGCAGAAUUCAAUCGAACAUUGUGGGUGUGUAGGUCUUAUUAAACCAAGCAACUUUGCAAACUUGCGUUUGAAAAUUUAUCUGGAUUAACAUUUAAAAAGGUCAGAUUGAAAGUUGAGACCAUGAUAAUUGUUAGUCAAAACUUCGAUCAUCAUGUGACAAAUUUCAGGAACUCAUUACUGAAAAUUGCACUCUUCAGGAUGGGGUAAGUUCAUCAAAGCAGUCCCAAAUGUUUGCAUGCUUUGGUUGGAAAAAAAAUUCAAAAAUAAAUGGUAACAUGUGUACCGUUUUUUGAACCCGUUUGUCCCGUUUUUAACCCGAGAAAAUCUGGUCAGCCUACUUCAAAAAUAUAAAAAAAUGAGUUUAAGAUCCUGCUCUGAAAAAAUAUAAUUUAAAAAAAAAAAAUUAUUUUAGAAAAUAUCGGUGAUCUCAGAUUUUUUUUAAAUGAAAUAUUUUAGAUAGACAAUUUAGUUGCCUAAAACGUUCUAUGUGUUGCAAAAAUGUACACUUUGACACAAACUCUUGAAAUCCGAAACAUUUUCGGUGUAGGUUGGUCACACCAAGUUCCCAAGUAAUACUAAUAUAAUACUGUUUUCUAGUGAAAUGAAACCGGUUAUCAAAAUUGAUUCAUUUUUCGUAAAGUUCUGGUCAUUUAAAAUUCGAGAAAAUUUUAUUUAUCUCAAUUUUUUGUCUACCCCAGGAUAUUUUUUGGCGCAACAAUUUCGUUGAUUUGGAUUUUUAGUGGAACUAAAAAUUGUUUGUUGGGUAACAGAUACUUCAAACUUAAACAGUUCCAAGUUAAACUAAACAAUUACCAGAGAAUUACCAAUAGACUGCCGCUAUGCAUGUCUAUCAUAUUAUAAGAGUUGGCAAGCCAAAGAAAAUGCAUUUUAUUACAAUUUCGUGUCAUUGCUUUUUAUGAGAUGGUGCGAAAAGUUUGGAUAUUUUUCUAAAGUUCUCCAGUACUGAGUUGUCGAAUUUAUCUGUUCAUAGGAAACUAAAAACUAUAAAUACCUUUUUAGUUACCAUUAUUUCUCAGAAACUCAGUGACAUCCGGGGCGAACCUUCACACUACCCCCAACAAUGCUAAAUCUUGUCGAAUAGCAACAAAUACCCAGCGGCAAAAGCAACUCCUGGGGAAGGGUAGGUGAGGUCUCCUUCUUUUGGGUCUCCUCCAGUAACCAGCCGCACUGACUUGUGCUCACCCUUAUAAUAUCGAUAAUUAUCGUUAACGUCAAAAAGUUAACGAUAAUAUCGAUGUCAAGCACUUAUCGAUAUUAUCGAUAAGUAUCGAUAAGUUUCCCAUCACUAGUCCUUAGGCCUCAUUCGUUUUUCAAUUUUUCCUGGUACGGACGUGGAUUGUCCUUUUUCUGGUACAGGCAGUACAAGAUUCUGUAAAAUAAGGAGUGCAAAAUGGUAGCCAUCUGUACUGAAGCUAAAUUGCCCUGCGAAUUUUCUUGUGAUGCCGUGAGUUAACGACCGCAAGAAAAUUCCGCAGAGGCAAUAUCACGUUUCGAAAACAUUUUGCUGUAAGAUAAGACGAUGUGUAAAGUUGACGGUAGCAGAAAAUUAGCAGAUCGGACCGAUGGUUAAUUUGCUGGAAAUGGACCGAACAGACUAAAAAUAACGCUUCAUUUUAAAUUGUAUUGUUUAUUGUAACACAAUGGUUAGCCUUAUAUAACAAAAGUUUGCAUGAUAAUAAACUAUAGUUGCAAAA